ACUUUAAUAGCUUAUUGGAGAGCAUAAUAUUGAAGAUAUUAGGGAGAUUUUCUUAAUCUUAAAGUA
Molecule: transfer RNA, 66 nt
Filed under: Agriotes sp. GTI-106
Lineage: Eukaryota; Metazoa; Arthropoda; Insecta; Coleoptera; Elateridae
Description: tRNA-Phe
Source: RNAcentral